GACGAACGCUGGCGGCGUGUUUAACACAUGCAAGUCGAACGGAAAGGCCCUGCUUUUGUGGGGUGCUCGAGUGGCGAACGGGUGAGUAACACGUGAGUAACCUGCCCUUGACUUUGGGAUAACUUCAGGAAACUGGGGCUAAUACCGGAUAGGAGCUCCUGCUGCAUGGUGGGGGUUGGAAAGUUUCGGCGGUUGGGGAUGGACUCGCGGCUUAUCAGCUUGUUGGUGGGGUAGUGGCUUACCAAGGCUUUGACGGGUAGCCGGCCUGAGAGGGUGACCGGCCACAUUGGGACUGAGAUACGGCCCAGACUCCUACGGGAGGCAGCAGUGGGGAAUAUUGCACAAUGGGCGGAAGCCUGAUGCAGCAACGCCGCGUGCGGGAUGACGGCCUUCGGGUUGUAAACCGCUUUCGCCUGUGACGAGGCGUGAGUGACGGUAAUGGGUAAAGAAGCACCGGCUAACUACGUG
This 468-nucleotide ribosomal RNA is filed under the name uncultured bacterium. RNAcentral's name for it is "partial 16S ribosomal RNA". It matches the Rfam family "Bacterial small subunit ribosomal RNA", at positions 28 to 507 of the family's 1533-position model. The record is from RNAcentral.